CAAAAAUUUAAAAAAAUGUGAAAUUAAAAAAAUAUAAAAAAUGUGAGAUUAAAAAAGUUUAAAAAAAAAAUUAAAAGAAAAUAUUAAAAAAAAUUGUUCCUGAUCAUGAAAUUUCCUGUCUUGUAGGACAAACAUAAAAGAUCCUGUUCUACAUGGUAACUUGAAAUGGAAAAACUUCGGGCUCUCGUAUGGUAUUAGGACAAAUAUAGUUGCCGGCAGCACUUAGGAGGAAUUGUAUUGUAACGACGAGUCAGCCCAAUCUACAGAAAGGAUUUCAGCAACAGA
This is a long non-coding RNA of Culicoides brevitarsis, 285 nucleotides long. RefSeq lists it as uncharacterized. The transcript is spliced from 3 exons. The record is from RefSeq and is a predicted model, not a curated record. NCBI's taxonomy places the organism in Eukaryota, Metazoa, Arthropoda, Insecta, Diptera, Ceratopogonidae.